AUCCAGCUGACGGGUCCCAAAUGGGACGAAACGCGCAUCCUGGAU
Non-coding RNA from Schistosoma haematobium, 45 nucleotides. Lineage: Eukaryota; Metazoa; Platyhelminthes; Trematoda; Strigeidida; Schistosomatidae. The record is from Rfam.